UUAACUAUUUUAUAGUACUCAGACAACACUAAUAUUCAGAGUUUAGGGGUUCUUUGGCGGGCACUUACCAGCCAGAGCCGGUAGCCGAAGCGGCCCGCCAAAGCAACAAAGGUAUGGUAUUCAAGGGUGGGAGAUCUACCCGUGAGGGCAUGAACUCUGUAAUGAUCCUUCCGCAGGUUCACCUACGGAAA
Molecule: unclassified non-coding RNA, 191 nt
Filed under: uncultured fungus
Lineage: Eukaryota; Fungi
Description: sequence contains ITS1
Source: RNAcentral